UACGUAGGGAGCGAGCGUUGUCCGGAAUUACUGGGUGUAAAGGGUGCGUAGGCGGGAUUGCAAGUCAGAUGUGAAAUACAUAGGCUUAACCUAUGGGCUGCAUUUGAAACUGUAGUUCUUGAGUGAAGUAGAGGCAAGCGGAAUUCCUGGUGUAGCGGUGAAAUGCGUAGAUAUCAGGAGGAACACCGGUGGCGAAGGCGGCUUGCUGGGCUUUAACUGACGCUGAGGCACGAAAGCGUGGGUAGCAA
RNAcentral lists this ribosomal RNA (248 nucleotides) under uncultured Ruminococcus sp. RNAcentral's name for it is "partial 16S ribosomal RNA". It matches the Rfam family "Bacterial small subunit ribosomal RNA", at positions 524 to 771 of the family's 1533-position model. The record is from RNAcentral. Lineage: Bacteria; Bacillati; Bacillota; Clostridia; Eubacteriales; Oscillospiraceae.